This 253-nucleotide ribosomal RNA is filed under the name uncultured bacterium. RNAcentral's name for it is "partial 16S ribosomal RNA". It matches the Rfam family "Bacterial small subunit ribosomal RNA", at positions 524 to 776 of the family's 1533-position model. The record is from RNAcentral.
UACGAAGGGGGCUAGCGUUGCUCGGAAUGACUGGGCGUAAAGGGCGCGUAGGCGGCUCACUGAGUCGGACGUGAAAUUCCUGGGCUUAACCUGGGGGCUGCGUUCGAUACCUGUGGACUAGAGUGGGGAAGAGGGUCGUGGAAUUCCCAGUGUAGAGGUGAAAUUCGUAGAUAUUGGGAAGAACACCAGUGGCGAAGGCGGCUAACUGGUCCAGAUCUGACGCUGAGGUGCGAAAGCGUGGGGAGCAAACAGG